This 481-nucleotide ribosomal RNA is filed under the name uncultured bacterium. Its description in RNAcentral is "bacterial SSU rRNA". It matches the Rfam family "Bacterial small subunit ribosomal RNA", at positions 335 to 802 of the family's 1533-position model. The record is from RNAcentral.
ACUCCUACGGGAGGCAGCAGUGGGGAAUAUUGCACAAUGGGCGCAAGCCUGAUGCAGCCAUGCCGCGUGUGUGAAGAAGGCCUUCGGGUUGUAAAGCACUUUCAGUCNUGAGGAAAGGUAGUGUAGUUUAAAUAGCUGCAUUAUUUUGANGUUUAGCGACAGAAGAAGCACCGGCUAACUCCGUGCCAGCAGCCGCGGUAAUACGGAGGGUGCGAGCGUUAAUCGGAAUUACUGGGCGUAAAGCGCAUGCAGGUGGUUUUGUUAAGUCAGAUGUGAAAGCCCGGGGCUCAACCUCGGAAUUGCAUUUGAAACUGGCAGACUAGAGUACUGUAGAGGGGGGGUAAAUUUUCAGGUGUAGCGGUGAAAUGCGUAGAGAUCUGAAGGAAUACCGGUGGCGAAGGCGGCCCCCUGGACAGAUACUGACACUCAGAUGCGAAAGCGUGGGGAGCAAACAGGAUUAGAUACCCUGGUAGCUACGAGU